Gossypium raimondii (Peruvian cotton) is the source of this 98-nucleotide non-coding RNA. The record is from Rfam. Lineage: Eukaryota; Viridiplantae; Streptophyta; Magnoliopsida; Malvales; Malvaceae.
GUGUACGAUGGAUGUUGGCACGGUUCAAUCCGAUCAAAUCUCUCAGUGGGCUGAGUCCUUUAAUCUGAUUGAGCCGUGCCAAUAUCAAUCUCUCUCUG